UCCGGGUUGGACCCGGCGGUCCCGCCAGACGUGGUAACUGGCGGCGGGGGUUGCGCUCGUUGCGGGACUUAACCCAACACCUCACGGCACGAGCUGACGACAGCCGUGCAGCAUCUGUGCACGCUCCCUCGCGGGUCGGCCCCGUCUCCGCGGCCUACCACGUGCAUGUCAAGCCCAGGUAAGGUUCUUCGCGUUGCGUCGAAUUAAACCACACGCUCCGCUGCUUGUGCGGGCCCCCGUCAAUUCCUUUGAGUUUUAGCCUUGCGGCCGUAGUCCCCAGGCGGCGGACUUAUCGCGUUGGCUGCGGCACCGGGGGGGUCGAUACCCCCGACACCUAGUCCGCAUCGUUUACGGCGUGGACUAC
RNAcentral lists this unclassified non-coding RNA (364 nucleotides) under uncultured Chloroflexota bacterium. Its description in RNAcentral is "uncultured Chloroflexi bacterium contains 16S-23S intergenic spacer region". Lineage: Bacteria; Bacillati; Chloroflexota. The record is from RNAcentral.